RNAcentral lists this long non-coding RNA (3353 nucleotides) under Setaria italica (foxtail millet). Its description in RNAcentral is "long non-coding RNA (SITA_LNC000992)". The record is from RNAcentral. Lineage: Eukaryota; Viridiplantae; Streptophyta; Magnoliopsida; Poales; Poaceae.
UUAAGCCUAAUCAAUCCAUCAUUAGCAAAUGGUUAUUGUAGCACCACAUUUUCAAAUCAUCGACUAAUUAGGUUUAAUAGAUUCGUCUCGCGAAUUAGACUCCAUCUGUGCAAUUAGUUUUGUAAUUAGCAUAUGUUUAAUACUUCUAAUUAGCAUCCAAACAUUCGAUGUGACAGGUGCUAAACUUUAGCAGAGGUAUCGUUUGGGGCCUCAUUCUCUGACAUUGAACUGAUACUCACUAUCUUGGGUGGAAGUACGGAAAGACUAAUAGCGGUAGGCAUGAAUUCGGACAAUGAUCGCUUGCCAGAGACUUGCCCAAUGCACGUAGAGAAGCAUCCGUCUCAGAGACUGAAGCACGCUGUGAGCCUUCAUCUAAUAUGAGCUCUUGCUGCUGUGGUUCUUUCCUUGACUUUUUGGCUGUUGAAGAUUCAGGAUCACUACUAUGUUCGUCAUCACCAGAUGUGGCAUCAACAGGUGAGCUUUGACAUUUCCCAGAUGCAGAUUGCUGCCUCAAGUUAGCCUGUCUCUGCAUAAUUAAAGAAAUACCAAGAUGGAUCAUGCAAAUUCAGUUGCAGAGUAGGAUGAAAAGUUAAAAAUUUCAGAGGAACCAAUGCAUUGAACCAUAUGCAUCCAAGUUCAUAUGAACUAGUUAAAUGCCCUUAGCAGUAACUCUUACAGUAUGGCAACAAACAAUGUGAAUUGCAAAGCUAGGAAGCACAGGUACUAAAUGUGUUCACCGCAUUGCCUUAUCGCUCGGAAUCGUCCAAUGCUUGCCGUUCCACAUGUACAGCGGAAUUUCGUUGCCAUUUGGAAGCGCACGCCAUAGGGUUGGGCCAUCCGUUCCUCGCAUUUUCCCCGAGUAGAUCCUCACCACCUCGAAGGUCCGGACGCCGCUUCCUCGUGCGGCUCCCCAAGCGACGCCGAUCCGACUCCUCAUCCAAGCGCCGCCGCUGCUCCGAGCCUCCGUCUCCUCAUCUAGGCGCCACUGUCCCUCCGUCUCCCAUCCAAGCACUGCCGCCGCUCCUAGCCUCCGACUCUGUCAAUCUGCCUCCGUGUCCAUACAUCGUCGUGUCCCCUCCCCGUUGUUUGCAAUGCCACCUCCACCCACGGAUCUCUACCUCCGCUACCUCCUCCGCAUCCACCAUGGCGCCUCAACCUCAUCUUCCUCCUCGACACCCACUGCGAUGUGAGUUCUUCCUCCUUCCUCCUCUUAUCAGAUUGCCUAGGGUUUGCUCUUCUCAUGGCUGCAAUGUGAAUUCUUGUAGUUAACAUCUCGAUUCCCAAUUCUUCUGUCUGAGAUCCAAUCCUAGGAACAUCAACUAACCAGCACGAGCACCAGCACUGAUUCAAUUUUUUUAGUUAGAUAUAUAUGUUCAAGUCCUACAGAUAUGUACUCAUCAAAUUUUUAAGAUGAACACAAACAUUGCAGUAAGAAUGUAUAGUUAUAUGUUUCUUGCCUAUUUCAUUUUUCUUAUCGCAUUCUCCUUGUCAACCAUCCAUUUGUUUGUGCUGUCAUUUCAGUAGGUUAUCUGAAUUGGAAAAAAUAUUUACAUUGAUGCUGCACAAGUCAUCUUUGGUCUUUACACAAUCCUAGUAAUUAGUUAACUCUACUGCAAUAAAAAAUGCAUUUCUUGUUUCUUAACUAAACUGAAUUUUAGUUAACUUUGACAUCUCACGAGCUACUACUGAAUAAUUUUCUGCUUAACACUAUUGGUUACUAAUAACUUAAUUAAUUGCCUAAUCACGAUGAAUACUACCAAGGGUGGUUGUAAGUUUUUUUUUAGAUCAGGGUGGUUGUAAGUUGUAACACUCGGGCUGUGUGUAUCAGACACCUGUGCAGAGGUUGGAACUAUCUUUCAUUUUGUUUUAAGGAAAAAAAAAAGAUAGCGGUAGUACUGAUUAAAAAGCAGCAUUUGAAAGCAAUCUUACUAGAGUGUCUCUUGAAUCUUCAUAUACUGCGAUACACUGGCACUGAUGUUAUAUAUCUUGCUCAAUGCAUCUGCUUAUAAUAGUUUGCAUACGACGGAGAAGGUGACUGUAUAAAAUACCCUGGUUAAAUCUUCCCUUGCUUCCAAAGGAAGGCUUAGUUUGGCUACUGAGAGGAGGAGCUCAGGCAAGGCACAAGAUCUCUGGAGGGUGCAUAGGGGCCUGAUGAUGGCGACUUAGGCACUCAAUCUCCAUAUGUUCUUUCAGUGAGCAAUAAUUUGUAAAUGUGCCUUUUUAUUUCAGUGAGCAAUAAUCUAUCAUCUGCUACACCUGCACUAUAGAUAAUGUUCUUUCAGUUUGCCAAGCAGCAACUACGAGUAGCUGAAACAUAGAUAUAUAAUUGUCAAUGUCACUGAUUGCCUUUUUGAUUUCCUAUGCUGCAACUAAUCUGUAGAUAGCUGCAUGUAGACAUCUGUUCUGUUUGAAUUUGCGUAAUUCUCUGAGAUGAAUAGACAACUUCAUCUUUGUCAUGCCUUAAUUUUCUGUGCUUGAAUCAUGCCACUAAUUUGAAAUAAUCACUGCUCCUGAGAUAGUUGAUUGCAAUCUGUUUCUCGCAAAUAUGGUUAUGUGGAAGUAUCAUGACAAACUACUGCGAUAAAAACUUUGUUUGGACUGCUGCUAACAUAUGAUAAAUCUCUUAUACAGUAAUUAUAUCAUGCGGCAACAGUUGAGUUAAAAACUUUGUUUGGACUGCUGCUAACAUAUGCUAAAUCUCUUAUACAGUAAUUAUAUCAUGCGGCAACAGUUGAGUUAAAAACUUUCAGUUCUUUGUAUUCUGUUCGGGCAAGGCUUGUAGAAGCCGUAUGAGAUAGCUGACAUCGGUUUAAAGCUGAAGAGUACACCUGAUACUACUAUGUAUGUACCACUAAGAUAUUGUUACUAGCUGUUGACGUAGACAUGAUGUAUGGCUGGCUUAACUCACUCUUAUCACGGAUUAUUUAGCUCUUGGCUAUGCUGAGUUUGCGCUGUAUGUUUAGCAUGGUAGUGGUGGUGGCUGGUUUGUGGUAUGAUCAGCAAUGGAUUAAUAAAAUAGUAUAUUUCAUUUUCAUUUAUGAUUUUUUCAAUGCUGACUAUUAUUUAUUGUUUUUUUAGAAUCGAUGAACAGUGAAGUGUUGGAGAACAUGAAUACGGGAAAGAAUGUUGGAGGGAAGGUCCUUAGCUUAUUUUACUAGCUAAUCUCUUGUACAAUAAUUAGAUUAUGCGGCUACAGUUGAGUUGAAGGCAUUGUAGCAUAGAUGCUUAAAACAUGUAAAGAACAUAUAUUCAUUUAGUCCAGCUGGAUGCGAAUGUAACUUGGUGAUUGAUGUUGCUUGUUGAGCUUGUGGACAUGUUACUGAUUUUAUUUAUCAAGUUGCUAUUUUUUCUGA